RNAcentral lists this ribosomal RNA (514 nucleotides) under Clostridium perfringens. RNAcentral describes it as "partial 23S ribosomal RNA". It matches the Rfam family "Bacterial large subunit ribosomal RNA", at positions 679 to 1192 of the family's 2925-position model. Lineage: Bacteria; Bacillati; Bacillota; Clostridia; Eubacteriales; Clostridiaceae. The record is from RNAcentral.
GAGUCUGAAUAGGGCGACUAGUUGCAUGCCGUAGACCCGAAACCGGGUGACCUAUCCAUGGCCAGGUUGAAGCGAGGGUAAAACCUCGUGGAGGACCGAACCACGUUGCUGUUGAAAAAGCAUGGGAUGAGCUGUGGAUAGCGGAGAAAUUCCAAUCGAACCCGGAGAUAGCUGGUUCUCUCCGAAAUAGCUUUAGGGCUAGCGUCGAGUAUGAGUAGUGGAGGUAGAGCACUGAAUGGGCUAGGGGGCAUAGCGCUUACCGAACCUUAUCAAACUCCGAAUGCCACAUACUUUGAGCUCGGCAGUCAGACUACGAAUGAUAAGAUCCGUGGUCAAAAGGGAAACAGCCCAGAUCGUCAGCUAAGGUCCCAAAGUGUAAGUUAAGUGGGAAAGGAUGUGAGAUUUCUAAGACAACUAGGAUGUUGGCUUAGAAGCAGCCAUUCAUUAAAAGAGUGCGUAAUAGCUCACUAGUCGAGAGAUCUUGCGCCGAAAAUGUAACGGGGCUAAACUUACC